This 204-nucleotide ribosomal RNA is filed under the name uncultured bacterium. RNAcentral describes it as "partial 16S ribosomal RNA". It matches the Rfam family "Bacterial small subunit ribosomal RNA", at positions 328 to 538 of the family's 1533-position model. The record is from RNAcentral.
ACGCUCGACACCUACGGGGGGCAGCAGUGGGGAAUAUUGGGCAAUGGGCGCAAGCCUGACCCAGCAACGCCGCGUGAAGGAAGAAGGCUUUUCGGGUUGUAAACUUCUUUUCUUGAGGACGAAGAAGUGACGGUACUCAAGGAAUAAGCUCCGGCUAACUACGUGCCAGCAGCCGCGGUAAUCUGAGGCGGGCGUGGCGAAGGC